UUAAGCGACUAAGCGUACACGGUGGAUGCCCUGGCAGUCAGAGGCGAUGAAGGACGUGCUAAUCUGCGAAAAGCGUCGGUAAGGUGAUAUGAACCGUUAUAGCCGGCGAUGUCCGAAUGGGGAAACCCAGUGCAAUUCGUUGCACUAUCGUUAACUGAAUACAUAGGUUAACGAGGCGAACCGGGGGAACUGAAACAUCUAAGUACCCCGAGGAAAAGAAAUCAACCGAGAUUCCCCCAGUAGCGGCGAGCGAACGGGGAGCAGCCCAGAGUCUGAAUCAGCUUGUGUGUUAGUGGAACGGUCUGGAAAGUCCGACGGUACAGGGUGAUAGUCCCGUACACCAAAAUGCACAGGCUGUGAACUCGAAGAGUAGGGCGGGACACGUGGUAUCCUGUCUGAAUAUGGGGGGACCAUCCUCCAAGGCUAAAUACUCCUGACUGACCGAUAGUGAACCAGUACCGUGAGGGAAAGGCGAAAAGAACCCCGGCGAGGGGAGUGAAAAAGAACCUGAAACCGUGUACGUACAAGCAGUGGGAGCACCUUCGGGUGUGACUGCGUACCUUUUGUAUAAUGGGUCAGCGACUUAUAUUCUGUAGCAAGGUUAACCGUAUAGGGGAGCCGCAGGGAAACCGAGUCUUAACUGGGCGUUAAGUUGCAGGGUAUAGACCCGAAACCCGGUGAUCUAGCCAUGGGCAGGUUGAAGGUUGGGUAACACUAACUGGAGGACCGAACCGACUAAUGUUGAAAAAUUAGCGGAUGACUUGUGGCUGGGGGUGAAAGGCCAAUCAAACCGGGAGAUAGCUGGUUCUCCCCGAAAGCUAUUUAGGUAGCGCCUCGUGAAUUCAUCUUCGGGGGUAGAGCACUGUUUCGGCUAGGGGGUCAUCCCGACUUACCAACCCGAUGCAAACUACGAAUACCGAAGAAUGUUAUCACGGGAGACACACGGCGGGUGCUAACGUCCGUCGUGAAGAGGGAAACAACCCAGACCGCCAGCUAAGGUCCCAAAGUCAUGGUUAAGUGGGAAACGAUGUGGGAAGGCACAGACAGCCAGGAUGUUGGCUUAGAAGCAGCCAUCAUUUAAAGAAAGCGUAAUAGCUCACUGGUCGAGUCGGCCUGCGCGGAAGAUGUAACGGGGCUAAACCAUGCACCGAAGCUGCGGCAGCGACACUAUGUGUUGUUGGGUAGGGGAGCGUUCUGUAAGCCUGCGAAGGUGACCUGUGAGGGUUGCUGGAGGUAUCAGAAGUGCGAAUGCUGACAUAAGUAACGAUAAAGCGGGUGAAAAGCCCGCUCGCCGGAAGACCAAGGGUUCCUGUCCAACGUUAAUCGGGGCAGGGUGAGUCGACCCCUAAGGCGAGGCCGAAAGGCGUAGUCGAUGGGAAACAGGUUAAUAUUCCUGUACUUGGUGUUACUGCGAAGGGGGGACGGAGAAGGCUAUGUUAGCCGGGCGACGGUUGUCCCGGUUUAAGCAUGUAGGCUGGUUGUCCAGGCAAAUCCGGAUAAUCAAGGCUGAGGUGUGAUGACGAGGCACUACGGUGCUGAAGUAACAAAUGCCCUGCUUCCAGGAAAAGCCUCUAAGCAUCAGGUAACAUCAAAUCGUACCCCAAACCGACACAGGUGGUCAGGUAGAGAAUACCAAGGCGCUUGAGAGAACUCGGGUGAAGGAACUAGGCAAAAUGGUGCCGUAACUUCGGGAGAAGGCACGCUGGUGUGUAGGUGAAGCCCCUGCGGGUGGAGCUGAGACCAGUCGAAGAUACCAGCUGGCUGCAACUGUUUAUUAAAAACACAGCACUGUGCAAACACGAAAGUGGACGUAUACGGUGUGACGCCUGCCCGGUGCCGGAAGGUUAAUUGAUGGGGUUAUCCGUAAGGAGAAGCUCUUGAUCGAAGCCCCGGUAAACGGCGGCCGUAACUAUAACGGUCCUAAGGUAGCGAAAUUCCUUGUCGGGUAAGUUCCGACCUGCACGAAUGGCGUAAUGAUGGCCAGGCUGUCUCCACCCGAGACUCAGUGAAAUUGAACUCGCUGUGAAGAUGCAGUGUACCCGCGGCAAGACGGAAAGACCCCGUGAACCUUUACUAUAGCUUGACACUGAACAUUGAGCCUUGAUGUGUAGGAUAGGUGGGAGGCUUUGAAGCGUGGACGCCAGUCUGCGUGGAGCCAACCUUGAAAUACCACCCUUUAAUGUUUGAUGUUCUAACGUUGGCCCCUUACCGGGGUUGCGGACAGUGUCUGGUGGGUAGUUUGACUGGGGCGGUCUCCUCCCAAAGCGUAACGGAGGAGCACGAAGGUUAGCUAAUCCUGGUCGGACAUCAGGAGGUUAGUGCAAUGGCAUAAGCUAGCUUGACUGCGAGCGUGACGGCGCGAGCAGGUGCGAAAGCAGGUCAUAGUGAUCCGGUGGUUCUGAAUGGAAGGGCCAUCGCUCAACGGAUAAAAGGUACUCCGGGGAUAACAGGCUGAUACCGCCCAAGAGUUCAUAUCGACGGCGGUGUUUGGCACCUCGAUGUCGGCUCAUCACAUCCUGGGGCUGAAGUAGGUCCCAAGGGUAUGGCUGUUCGCCAUUUAAAGUGGUACGCGAGCUGGGUUUAGAACGUCGUGAGACAGUUCGGUCCCUAUCUGCCGUGGGCGCUGGAGAAUUGAGGGGGGCUGCUCCUAGUACGAGAGGACCGGAGUGGACGCAUCACUGGUGUUCGGGUUGUCAUGCCAAUGGCACUGCCCGGUAGCUAAAUGCGGAAGAGAUAAGUGCUGAAAGCAUCUAAGCACGAAACUUGCCCCGAGAUGAGUUCUCCCUGAGACUUUAAGUCUCCUGAAGGAACGUUGAAGACGACGACGUUGAUAGGCCGGGUGUGUAAGCGCAGCGAUGCGUUGAGCUAACCGGUACUAAUGAACCGUGAGGCUUAACCUU
This 2900-nucleotide ribosomal RNA is filed under the name Klebsiella pneumoniae BIDMC 22. RNAcentral describes it as "bacterial LSU rRNA". It matches the Rfam family "Bacterial large subunit ribosomal RNA". The record is from RNAcentral. Lineage: Bacteria; Pseudomonadati; Pseudomonadota; Gammaproteobacteria; Enterobacterales; Enterobacteriaceae.